Molecule: long non-coding RNA, 276 nt
Organism: Monopterus albus (swamp eel)
Lineage: Eukaryota; Metazoa; Chordata; Actinopteri; Synbranchiformes; Synbranchidae
Exons: 4
Source: RefSeq, a predicted model, not a curated record
GAUGGGUCACAGAAUUUGGUGUCACACUGGAGAGUGAGAAACAGUACCUGGAAGUGGUGAAUACUCCAUAGAUGAUUGGACUCUUGGGAUCCUUUGAGCUCAUGAGAAAAACAUCCUCUGAAGACAACCAAAAACAUGAGAGCUGUCCAAUGCGAGCAUGUGUGGCCUUCCCAGCAUGCUCUCCAUCCAGAGCAUUCUCUCUGAAGAACAGAAAUUAGGCUGCAAAAUUUUGAACCACUUGUAAACAAGCUGAAACUCCUUGUGAAGACAUAAGGC